RNAcentral lists this ribosomal RNA (253 nucleotides) under uncultured bacterium. RNAcentral describes it as "partial 16S ribosomal RNA". It matches the Rfam family "Bacterial small subunit ribosomal RNA", at positions 524 to 776 of the family's 1533-position model. The record is from RNAcentral.
UACGUAGGGGGCAAGCGUUGUCCGGAUUUAUUGGGCGUAAAGAGCGUGUAGGCGGCCAGGUAGGUCGGUUGUGAAAACUGGAGGCUUAACCUUCAGACGUCGACCGAAACCAUCUGGCUAGAGUCCGGAAGAGGAGAGUGGAAUUCCUGGUGUAGCGGUGGAAUGCGCAGAUAUCAGGAAGAACACCCGUGGCGAAGGCGGCUCUCUGGGACGGUACUGACGCUGAGACGCGAAAGCGUGGGGAGCGAACAGG